The sequence is a ribosomal RNA, 3123 nucleotides long. It matches the Rfam family "Eukaryotic small subunit ribosomal RNA". The record is from Rfam.
UACCUGGUUGAUUCUGCCAGUAGUCAUAUGCUUGUCUCAAAGAUUAAGCCAUGCAUGUCUGAGUAUAAGCAAUUAUACAGCGAAACUGCGAAUGGCUCAUUAUAUAAGUUAUCGUUUAUUUGAUAGUACCUUGCUACUUGGAUAACCGUGGUAAUUCUAGAGCUAAUACAUGCUAAAAAUCCCGACUCCGGAAGGGAUGUAUUUAUUAGAUUAAAAGCCAAUGCCCUCUGGGCUCUCUGGUGAUUCAUGAUAACUUCUCGAAUCGCACGGCCUUGCGCCGGCGAUGGUUCAUUCAAAUUUCUUCCCUAUCAACUUUCGAUGUUUGGGUAGUGGCCAAACAUGGUUGCAACGGGUAACGGAGGGUUAGGGCUCGACCCCGGAGAAGGAGCCUGAGAAACGGCUACUACAUCCAAGGAAGGCAGCAGGCGCGCAAAUUACCCAAUCCCGACUCGGGGAGGUAGUGACAAUAAAUACUGAUACAGGGCCCUUUCGGGUCUUGUAAUUGGAAUGAGUACAAUUUAAAUCCCUUAACGAGGAACAAUUGGAGGGCAAGUCUGGUGCCAGCAGCCGCGGUAAUUCCAGCUCCAAUAGCGUAUAUUAAAGUUGUUGUGGUUAAAAAGCUCGUAGUUGAACCUUGGGCCUGGCGGGCUGGUCCGCCUCACCGCGUGCACUAGUCCCGCCGGGCCUUUCCCUCUGCGGAGCCCCAUGCCCUUCACUGGGCGUGGCGGGGAAGCAGGACGUUUACUUUGAAAAAAUUAGAGUGCUCCAGGCAGGCGUAUGCUCGAAUACAUUAGCAUGGAAUAAUGAAAUAGGACGCGCGGUUCUAUUUUGUUGGUUUCUGGGACCGCCGUAAUGAUUAAUAGGGACAGUCGGGGGCAUCAGUAUUCAAUUGUCAGAGGUGAAAUUCUUGGAUUUAUUGAAGACUAACAACUGCGAAAGCAUCUGCCAAGGAUGUUUUCAUUAAUCAGGAACGAAAGUUAGGGGAUCGAAGACGAUCAGAUACCGUCGUAGUCUUAACCAUAAACUAUGCCGACUAGGGAUCGGACGAUGUUAUUCAUUGACUCGUUCGGCACCUUACGAGAAAUCAAAGUGCGUGGGCUCCAGGGGGAGUAUGGUCGCAAGGCUGAAACUUAAAGAAAUUGACGGAAGGGCACCACCAGGGGUAAACGUGCACUGUCUAAGCCGCAGUCAACUCUGCUCCAGAAAGCCGCCCGAAAGGGUCGGUGGUCGCCCCCCAACGCUGGCUAGUCCCGUCCGCCACCGCGCGGCGGGGCAACACCCUCAAACUGCCGGGGAACUCCUAAAGCCCUCGCUCCGGACGGCGCUGGGAAACCAGCGUCCGCUCACCAGGUUAACGACCUCGGGCAUCGGAAGCAACGCGGGGGAUGCUACAAUGGACGAUCCGCAGCCAAGCCCCUACGUGCGACAGCAUACGGGGAAGGUUCAGAGACUUGACGGGGGUGGGUCGGGGACGCAUGUCGGGACGCCUGAAGGCGCUGGAACACCGGCACGAGGGCGCUGGAGUCUCGCCCGCGAGGGGCUGGCACCUCCGCCUGAAGAGCGCUGGGAUCCCGGCGACCGAGACGCCCGCAUCGCCCACCGGCUUGAGGUAAAGUCCGCUGUCGCGCCAAAAGCGCGCCCCAUGCGAUGGAUCAUCGCUCGGCAACCACAACGGGAGCCUGCGGCUUAAUUUGACUCAACACGGGGAAACUCACCAGGUUAACACAGCGGGCAACGCUUGUUGCGUGUCUGGGCCUGGAAUAGUGAGAGCCCGCCAGGGGGCGGCCUCGCUAGUAUUCGUCCUUAACCCGCGCGGGGGGAGCCCCCCUACUCUGGGCGCAGGGAGCGGUCGCGCUACGGCGCGCCGCUUGGGCGGUGCAACACCAGCUGGUACAGGGAACGCCGACUACCCCUCGGGGGGCAAGGGCCGAUCCUGUGGCGAGUCCGGGCUGCGCCGGACCGUCGCAACGCACGCCAAGCGGUGGGCUGGCUCAGGCUGGCUUAAGGUACGUGCUAAUCCCACGGGGCAACCGUGGCCGCCCUGAAUAGUUCCGAGUUUUACGAAGCAGGGCGGGGGCGCACCUCCGGGUGCGCUCGUCCGAGUCCACAGCGGGCUCGAGUGCCAGACACAAUGAGGAUUGACAGAUUGAGAGCUCUUUCUUGAUUUUGUGGGUGGUGGUGCAUGGCCGUUCUUAGUUGGUGGAGUGAUUUGUCUGCUUAAUUGCGAUAACGAACGAGACCUUAACCUGCUAAAUAGCCCGUAUUGCUCAGGCAGUACGCCGGCUUCUUAGAGGGACUAUCGGCUCAAGCCGAUGGAAGUUUGAGGCAAUAACAGGUUGACCUACACAGGCCUGUAGUAGUGGCGCCUCCGGUGGGACAGAGGGAAGAAGACCGCUAGUCCAACAGCAUAACCCCCGUGAAGGGAGCCCUUCGGAAUCGGGCGGGGGGGCGGCCACUGCCCGUGGCCGCUCGCUGUGGGCGACACCACCUGGUACAGAAGACGCCCACGGGGCCAAUUCUGUGGCGAGUCCGGGUUGCGCCGGACCGUCGCAACGCGCGCUAAGGGGUGGGCCGGCGUCCUCUGCGGAGGCCCGGCUUAAGGUACGUGCUAAUCCCACGGGAAGGAGAAACCGUGCCGACACACAGAGCCCCGAUCGGCGAAGUGUGCCGGGGCGUCCCUGCGCAGCGUCGCAGGGCGCCGGUCUCGGGGGCACACAGGCUGCUUCAGCAUGUCCUGGCCCCCCGAGGAAAUGCUGUGAUGCCCUUAGAUGUUCUGGGCCGCACGCGCGCUACACUGACGGAGCCAGCGAGUACGCCCUUGGCCGGAAGGCCCGGGUAACCUUGUUAAACUCCGUCGUGCUGGGGAUAGAGCAUUGCAAUUAUUGCUCUUCAACGAGGAAUCCCUAGUAAGCGCAAGUCAUCAGCUUGCGUUGAUUACGUCCCUGCCCUUUGUACACACCGCCCGUCGCUACUACCGAUUGAAUGGCUCAGUGAGGCGUCCGGACUGGCCCAGCGAGGUGGGCAACCACCACGCAGGGCCGGAAAGCUCUCCAAACUCGGUCAUUUAGAGGAAGUAAAAGUCGUAACAAGGUCUCCGUUGGUGAACCAGCGGAGGGAUCAUUA